This 253-nucleotide ribosomal RNA is filed under the name uncultured bacterium. RNAcentral's name for it is "partial 16S ribosomal RNA". It matches the Rfam family "Bacterial small subunit ribosomal RNA", at positions 524 to 776 of the family's 1533-position model. The record is from RNAcentral.
UACGGAGGGUGCGAGCGUUAAUCGGAAUUACUGGGCGUAAAGCGCACGCAGGCGGUUUGUUAAGCUAGAUGUGAAAGCCCCGGGCUCAACCUGGGAUGGUCAUUUAGAACUGGCAGACUAGAGUCUUGGAGAGGGGAGUGGAAUUCCAGGUGUAGCGGUGGAACGCGUAGAUAUCUGGAGGAACAUCAGUGGCGAAGGCGACUCCCUGGCCAAAGACUGACGCUCAUGUGCGAAAGUGUGGGUAGCGAACAGG